AGCGGAGGAAAAGAAACUAACAAGGAUUCCCCUAGUAACGGCGAGUGAAGCGGGAAGAGCUCAAAUUUGAAAGCUGGCACCUUCGGUGUCCGCGUUGUAAUCUCGAGAAGUGUUUUCCGUGCUGGACCAUGUACAAGUUCCUUGGAAUAGGACGUCAUAGAGGGUGAAAAUCCCGUACUUGACAUGGACGCCCAGUGCUUUGUGAUACACUCUCCACGAGUCGAGUUGUUUGGGAAUGCAGCUCAAAAUGGGUGGUAAAUUCCAUCUAAAGCUAAAUAUUGGGGAGAGACCGAUAGCGAACAAGUACCGUGAGGGAAAGAUGAAAAGCACUUUGGAAAGAGAGUUAAACAGUACGUGAAAUUGUCGAAAGGGAAGCGCUUGAAGUUAGACAUGCUUGCCGGGAUUCAGCCUUGCUUUUGCUUGGUGCAUUUCCCGGUGUGCAGGCCAGCAUCAGUUUUGUUUGCCGGAUAAGGGUGAGAGGAAUGUGGCCCCUCGGGGUGUUAUAGCCUCUCACUGGAUACGGCGGAUGGGACUGAGGACCGCAGUGUGCCUUUAUGGCGGGCCUUCGGGCACCUUCACACUUAGGAUGCUGGCGUAAUGGCUUUAAGCGACCCGUCUUGACCCCCGGAA
Molecule: ribosomal RNA, 630 nt
Filed under: Quambalaria cyanescens
Lineage: Eukaryota; Fungi; Basidiomycota; Exobasidiomycetes; Microstromatales; Quambalariaceae
Description: partial large subunit ribosomal RNA
Rfam family: Eukaryotic large subunit ribosomal RNA
Source: RNAcentral